RNAcentral lists this transfer RNA (94 nucleotides) under Streptomyces minutiscleroticus. Its description in RNAcentral is "tRNA-Arg". The record is from RNAcentral. Lineage: Bacteria; Bacillati; Actinomycetota; Actinomycetes; Kitasatosporales; Streptomycetaceae.
CCCGCCCCAGCCGGGCGAUGCGGGGCCCGGCCUGCGCGGCCGGUAUCUCGGCGAGGUCCUCGACGUGGUGGACGCUCAGCCGGCCGGGCGAGAC